GAUGAACGCUAGCUACAGGCUUAACACAUGCAAGUCGAGGGGAAACGACAUUGAAGCUUGCUUCGAUGGUCGUCGACCGGCGCACGGGUGAGUAACGCGUAUCCAACCUGCCUCUGACCAAGGGAUAACCCGUCGAAAGUCGGCCUAAUACCUUAUGCAGUCGUCGGAAGUCAUCUGAUGACGACGAAAGAUUUCAUCGGUGAGAGAUGGGGAUGCGUCUGAUUAGCUUGUUGGCGGGGUAACGGCCCACCAAGGCAACGAUCAGUAGGGGUUCUGAGAGGAAGGUCCCCCACAUUGGAACUGAGACACGGUCCAAACUCCUACGGGAGGCAGCAGUGAGGAAUAUUGGUCAAUGGGCGAGAGCCUGAACCAGCCAAGUAGCGUGCAGGAUGACGGCCCUAUGGGUCGUAAACUGCUUUUAUGCGGGGAUAAAGUGAGGGACGUGUCCUUCAUUGCAGGUACCGCAUGAAUAAGGACCGGCUAAUUCCGUG
This 491-nucleotide ribosomal RNA is filed under the name uncultured bacterium. Its description in RNAcentral is "partial 16S ribosomal RNA". It matches the Rfam family "Bacterial small subunit ribosomal RNA", at positions 28 to 507 of the family's 1533-position model. The record is from RNAcentral.